CCUACGGGAGGCAGCAGUGGGGAAUAUUGGACAAUGGGGGGAACCCUGAUCCAGCCAUGCCGCGUGUGUGAAGAUGGCCCUCGGGUUGUAAAGCACUUUCAGUGAGGAAGAACGCCUGGUGGUUAAUACCCAUCAGGAAAGACAUCACUCACAGAAGAAGCACCGGCUAACUCCGUGCCAGCAGCCGCGGUAAUACGGAGGGUGCGAGCGUUAAUCGGAAUUACUGGGCGUAAAGCGCGCGUAGGUGGCUUGAUAAGCCGGUUGUGAAAGCCCCGGGCUCAACCUGGGAACGGCAUCCGGAACUGUCAAGCUAGAGUGCAGGAGAGGAAGGUAGAAUUCCCGGUGUAGCGGUGAAAUGCGUAGAGAUCGGGAGGAAUACCAGUGGCGAAGGCGGCCUUCUGGACUGACACUGACACUGAGGUGCGAAAGCGUGGGUAGCAAACAGGAUUAGAUACCCUGGUAGUC
Molecule: ribosomal RNA, 465 nt
Filed under: Vreelandella stevensii
Lineage: Bacteria; Pseudomonadati; Pseudomonadota; Gammaproteobacteria; Oceanospirillales; Halomonadaceae
Description: partial 16S ribosomal RNA
Rfam family: Bacterial small subunit ribosomal RNA
Source: RNAcentral